UUGGUCCAGGCUGCAAUAAUUGACCUGGGGUUACCAGAGCAGGGGCUGGUGUGUCUGUAUGGAUAGAAUGAGAUGAUCCAACAACUGCAGGAGAGAACUGUGACACAGUUUGAUUUGGCAAACCUGAACCUGAAAUUGCAUUAGGUUUGCUGGAGACUGGUGGUGUUAAAGCAGAAGAGAACUGUGAUACAGUUUGGUAUGGCAAGCUUGAACCAGAAAUCACAUUAGGUUUGCUGGAGACCGGGGGCAUUAAAGCAGGAGAGAACUGUGAUACAGUUUGAUAUAGCAAACCUGAGCCUGAAAUUGCAUUAGGUUUGCUGGAGACCGGUGGCACUAUAGCAUUUACAUCUGGACCAGAAUUGGUCAAUGGGGUCAGUGAUGGAAAGUUAGAAGCUAGCGAAACUGCUGAAGUUGAAACAUUUGUUGCCUUGUUGGCUAAUGCAACUGGCAAAAUUUCUGAAGCUAGGGUAGCAGAAGGUGCAGGAGGCAAUGCAGAAG
RNAcentral lists this long non-coding RNA (498 nucleotides) under Lotus japonicus. RNAcentral describes it as "long non-coding RNA (LJAP_LNC001379)". The record is from RNAcentral. Lineage: Eukaryota; Viridiplantae; Streptophyta; Magnoliopsida; Fabales; Fabaceae.